GUUGCCUUUUGUUGAAUCAUGGGAGUUACACUGGUGAAGUCAUAGAAUCAUAGAACGGUAAGGGGUUGGAAUGGACCUUAAAGAUUGUCUAGGCCCAGACUCUUGCCUGCCCUGGGCAGGGAUACCUCCCAUUAGACCAGGUUGCUCAAGGCCUUAUGCAACCUGACAUUGAACCCUGACAGAGUUGGGCAAUCCACAGCCUCUCUGGGAACCUGUUCCAGUGCUUUCUCUGUGGCACACUGUCCUUGCUGGGAGUUGAAGUAGAAUGUAUGCUCAAGAGCAUUGUUGACUCAUACUCAGCAUGAAGAUGGAAGAUUUUUUUUUAGCCAUGGGUGACAUCAGGUGCUUGAGGUGGUGAGCUGAGGCUAUGUGUGGGCUCAUAAAAAUGGAGCGGAGGACAUGGACUGGCCAGUGCCAGUACAGGGAGUAGCCUAUCGCUUUGAGGACCAUCCUUUUGAAAUCUUUACUUCCCUGUCCCACAUGAGGACUGCCAUCUCUUCUUUACUCUGCCCCAGGAGGGCAGCCAGAGGAUGGAUGGACGGACAGACGCUGCUACUGCCUGAAGUUACAUUGUAGAUGCUGAAAUCACUGCACCUUAAAAACAAAAAGAUUAAGCCACACUGCAUUCCUGUAAGUAAAAGCUUUUCCGGUACCUUUUGUCCGUAUUUUUCCUCCAUAUGCAUCCAAAGUGUUAGCACAGUAGCUGGUCUUGGAUAAAGGUCAGAGUCCCCUUGAAUGGGAUUUAGAAGUUCAAAGGGUGUUUUAUUUAAAAAUUAAAAAGGAACUUACAUCUUGCAGAUCUUUAAUUUCAGAGCACUGAAUAGAUCAUUCUUUCCUGCUUUGUUUUGAAUAGUAUUAGGAAUACUGUGCAUCUCUGUUUGUUGAUUUACAGUUGCUGUCGCUUUGUCAGUGAGGAUUUCUGCACGUUGGUGCAGAGAUAACAGAAAGUAGCAGAAGAUUCCUUAUAGCACAAAACUCAGUUUAUUCUCUUCUCAUGAUGUCGUAACAAAUUCUUCUCCUUUGUAUGAGAAAAAAACAAACAACUUUCUGAUGACAUCACAGGGGACUUCAGCUGCUUUAGGGUGCAGAUGAAGGGAGAAAUGCCUAAUUCAUCUCUGCUGUGACACAACAAAACAGUCAAAAUAACAUCUACGUCUCAUCAAGAAAGGAAUCUUUUUCUAAGGGCAUAGUUAUUCCAUAAAUGCAAGUCAGAUUGCACAUCACUCUGAUCCACCCUUAUUUAGAAUCUGUUUAUUGAAUGUAUUUGGGUUAAUAAUUAAGAUUUGGAACUUCAGUGACUGAACAACAGACAAGCAAAAGAGGAUUGGAAAAUAUAGCAGAUUCAGAUACUCUUAAGCAAAUUAAAUAAUAUAUGAAAAAAAUCCAGAAGCUUGUAGAAAGAAGGAAAAAGAUCAAUUUCAAUUGAACAGUGCAAAGCUGCGGAAUAUUACAAAGCAAAGUCAGUUUGUUUUCUUGUUUAAGAUCAAAAUGUGCAUUCUGUAAUGAAAUCCAGAGACUCCUUCCAAAGUAGUACUUUUGUACUUCAGUUUUAAAAUAUUUUAACUAUUAGAGGGGA
Long non-coding RNA from Cyanistes caeruleus (blue tit), 1576 nucleotides. The record is from Ensembl. NCBI's taxonomy places the organism in Eukaryota, Metazoa, Chordata, Aves, Passeriformes, Paridae.